GACGAACGCUGGCGGCGUGCUUAACACAUGCAAGUCGAACGGGAACCUUUAUUUCGGUAAAGGUGAGAGUGGCAAACGGGUGAGUAACACGUAGGCAACCUGCCGACAGGAUGGGGACAACAUUCCGAAAGGAAUGCUAAUACCGAAUGGAGUCCGGGGAUGGCAUCAUCCCUGGAUAAAAGAUGGCCUCUGAAUAUGCUAUCGCCUGUCGAUGGGCCUGCGUCUGAUUAGCCAGUUGGCGGGGUAACGGCCCACCAAAGCGACGAUCAGUAGCCGGUCUGAGAGGAUGAACGGCCACAUUGGGACUGAGACACGGCCCAGACUCCUACGGGAGGCAGCAGUGGGGAAUCUUCCACAAUGGGCGAAAGCCUGAUGGAGCAACGCCGCGUGAGUGAAGAAGGUCUUCGGAUCGUAAAGCUCUGUUGCACGGGACGAAAACCGGG
This 443-nucleotide ribosomal RNA is filed under the name Selenomonas sp. oral taxon C23. RNAcentral's name for it is "bacterial SSU rRNA". It matches the Rfam family "Bacterial small subunit ribosomal RNA", at positions 28 to 456 of the family's 1533-position model. The record is from RNAcentral. Lineage: Bacteria; Bacillati; Bacillota; Negativicutes; Selenomonadales; Selenomonadaceae.